RNAcentral lists this ribosomal RNA (253 nucleotides) under uncultured bacterium. RNAcentral's name for it is "partial 16S ribosomal RNA". It matches the Rfam family "Bacterial small subunit ribosomal RNA", at positions 524 to 776 of the family's 1533-position model. The record is from RNAcentral.
UACGGAGGGUCCAAGCGUUAUCCGGAAUCAUUGGGUUUAAAGGGUCCGUAGGCGGUUUUGUAAGUCAGUGGUGAAAGCCCAUCGCUCAACGGUGGAACGGCCAUUGAUACUGCAAGACUUGAAUUAUUAGGAAGUAACUAGAAUAUGUAGUGUAGCGGUGAAAUGCUUAGAGAUUACAUGGAGUACCAAUUGCGAAGGCAGGUUACUACUAAUUGAUUGACGCUGAUGGACGAAAGCGUGGGGAGCGAACAGG